UGGGGAGUACUGUCGCAAGGCUGAAACUCAAAGGAAUUGGCGGGAUCCCGCACAAGCGGUGGAGCAUGCUCUUUAAUUGGUUGCUAACCCAAGAACCUUACCCAGACUUGACAUGUAUGUAGUAGUGAACCGAAAGGGGAACGAUCUUAAUUUAUUAAGAAGCAUACACAGGUGUUGCAUGGCUAUGCACCUCACACCUGAAAAGAAAAAAGAGGAAGACGAUGGCCCUUUAGCGAGUAAUUGCUAUCGAAUAAAUUGGCUAAUAACGGUGGAAUCCUAAUACAAAUUGAGAUAAUAUUUAUGUAUGGACAAUACCGUGGGAAGUCUAGGUAGUUUACUUAAUAAUCCACAUGAAUCUUACAUUCUUGGCUUAUGGGGCGCGGAUCGCUAUUUGCGAACGAGCAGCAUAGGUUUAAGUAAUACAAAUGUGAGGUUGAUUAAAAUCUUUUUGGAAUACCUAUUGGAAAGGUUUCCUAUUAGUAGAAUCAGAUUUCGCGUUUAUGGAGUUGAGGAUACCUCACUUACUAGUGGAUUUAAAGUGUCUUAUUGCAAAGGUUCCAAGAAUGUCUUGACUGCAUAUCAUAUUUAUGUAAAUUCAAGGCCUCUAGUAAGAGAAUUUUUAUUUUCUCUUAGAAACAGGAACUUUCUUGCUAAAGAUUGUAUUUAUGCUUAUUUUGCAGGGAGAUUUGAUGGUGAUGGCUCUUUAUCUUUAGAUAAGAAGAUUUGUUGAUUGAUCAAUAUCUGCUUACAAAUAUAAAUACUUCGGUUUAUGAAUACGGGUCUGCAAGAACCUAUUGUAUGUACUUUAAAAAGAGUACAUUAAGUAAUUUUCUUGAACAGAUAAGACCUUAUUCCAUAUCCGGUAAACUAUAAUGACCCCGUAUCGACUUCUCCUGUGUUUAUACACUGGAGGGAUGGAAGAACCUCUCAUUAGAAUGAGUAAAGGGCUUUCAUAAAACGCCAGUCUCCCAAAACAUAAUUUGGGAUGAUGAUAUAGUCAGUGCCAUUAGGAAUAGUGGAGAUUACACAUGGUCGUCAGCUCGUACCGUGAGGCGUACCCUUAAGUGGGUUAACGAGCGCAACCCCUACUGCUAGUUGUAUCACUCUAGCGGAACUGCUAUCGUAAGAUGGAGGAAGGUGGGGACGACGUCAAGUCGGUAUUGCCCUUAUGUCUGGGGCCAGAAGCAUGCUACAAUGGCGCGUACAAAAAGUUGCAAUGCAGUGAUGCGGAGCCAAUCUUUAAAGCGCGUCCCAGUUCGGAUUGAAGUCUGCAAUUCGGCUUCAUGAAGUUGGAAUCGCUAGUAAUCGUCGGUCAGCGAUACGACGGUGAAUACGUUCUCGGGAUUUGCACACACUGCCCGUCACAUCAGCAAAGCUAAGGUCACCUGAAGUACCUCUUUUAAGGGGUCCCAUGGUGAAAUUAGUGAUGAUGGUGAAGUCGUAACAAGGUAGCCGUAGGGGAAUCUGCGGCUG
This 1473-nucleotide ribosomal RNA is filed under the name Patescibacteria group bacterium. Its description in RNAcentral is "16S ribosomal RNA". It matches the Rfam family "Bacterial small subunit ribosomal RNA", at positions 874 to 1520 of the family's 1533-position model. The record is from RNAcentral.